This 72-nucleotide transfer RNA is filed under the name Camelus bactrianus (Bactrian camel). It matches the Rfam family "tRNA". Rfam says of the family: Transfer RNA (tRNA) molecules are approximately 80 nucleotides in length. The record is from Rfam by way of RNAcentral. RNAcentral also lists the same sequence under 2 other names. Lineage: Eukaryota; Metazoa; Chordata; Mammalia; Artiodactyla; Camelidae.
GCGGGUAUAGCUCAGUGGUAGAGCAUGUGCUUAGCAUGCACGAGGUCCUAGGUUCAAUCCCUGGUACCUUCA